Molecule: long non-coding RNA, 14987 nt
Filed under: Gallus gallus (chicken)
Lineage: Eukaryota; Metazoa; Chordata; Aves; Galliformes; Phasianidae
Description: lncRNA (ENSGALG00010012777.1)
Source: RNAcentral
AAAAAAAAAAAAAAAGGAGUAUAAAAGAAUCAUCUGUUUGUGUAGAGAAUCUGCUGAAAAAGAAACCAGGUGGUGGCAAAAGAACCACGUAAACAGUUAACUCAAACAACACACAGUUGGGUGCAGCUUGGAUCUGCUUAUAGCCAACACAUGGGAACUCUGGGCAAAGCUGUAGCGCACUAGUUAUAGACUCAUCCCAUAGACUUAGAGAUGGAAAACACUUAUUAGGACAUUCCAGUAUGGUGCAGAUGCUCAAGUAUGGUCCUGUUAUGUGGAAAAUUAAUUGAUUCUGACCUCAUGAAUAAAUUUCAUCUUCACAGGUACCAGGAAAACCCAACACGACUCAGAGUCUGAUGAGGUUUUGAAUGCUGGUAAACUCACAUGACAUUAUUUUUGUUAUUUAAGUUUCAAAAGGCAAAAUUCAACCCAGGGACAAGCCUGGCCUGUAUUUUCCCCAACUCAAUGAAAGUGAUUAAUAUUUUAAAAAUAAUUCUAGCUAACCUUGUGGACUUGUGCCCAUCAGGAACAAAAAAACCCUGACCUCACUCCUCUGUGUCUCCCUAAUUCCUUUCUUUUGGACUUCCACUGUGAAUUGCACUGUAAACACUCACUGUCAUUAAACUCUGGUACACAGAGCUGCUUCAGCUGCUGCACAGUCCAGCUCCCAUGGGAGCACGUGGAAAUCCCUGAUACAAAGGGGAUGUGAAAGGACCAACGAUGUGUUCUCAAAUGGAAGUGACUGUCGGUUUUGUUCCUCGUGCUGCCAAAUGCAAGGAAGGCUGGGACAUGCAGCUCUGUGACUGCAGGCCUUGCAAAGAAGGAGCACGUAUGUAUGUAAGGAGAAGGAUAGAUAGGUUUUAUAGCAGUGUUCAUCCCCAGAAUGCAAAGAAUAUAGUGGGAGAUGUUGCAAUACCUUGCUGCUUUCCCACAUAUCAAAUGCUGGGGAUUGCUCCAUUAGUCUCAUAAUUCAUAGGAGCUGUGGGAGUUGUACAGCAUAUCUGUCUGGAAAAGACAUUUUGUGGAGAAAAAGGUAGUGGGUUUUACCAGACAAGCUGAUGCAGAUGGAAAACACCCACCAAGCCCUACAGGACAAAUAUGUAAGAUUUUACUUCUUUCUGAAAACUGUCUCAUUUACUCCUGCAGCCCAUUGUGGUGGGAAGGCUUGUGCCUUAGCACAGCGGUGUUUUCUUACACUUUUCCAUCACGUAAAACCACUCAGCUCUGGGAAAAGGCACAAGAGCACCAGUUUAAUGUUCUGACCAUAGGUACAGUCACUGCAUUACCUGGACCCAUCCCUGCUAGACACUGACCUCAGUGCUGUAGAACUUGCAAAGAAUAGCAAGAGAUCAUAGAAUCAUAGAAUCAUUAAAAGAUAUCUAAGAUUAUCUGAUCCAACCAUCAAAGCAUCCCCACCAUGCCCACCAACCGCUUCCCUCAGUGCCACAUCUUCACAGUUCAUGAAUACAUCCAGAGGCUGUGACUCCAUCACCUCCCUGGACAGCUUGUGCCACUCUAUGACCACUCUUUCUACGAAUAAGUUUUUCCUAAUGUCCAACCUGAACCUUCCCUGGUGCAAUUUAAGGCCAUCACCUCUUGUCCUGUUGCUGCUACCUGGGAGCAGAGGGCAACCCCCACUUCACAACAAUCUCCUUUCAGGUGGUUGUAGAGAGCAAUAAGGUCACACCUGAUCCUCUUCUCCAGACUGAACCAUCCCAGUUCCCUCAGCUGCUCCCCAUCAGACUUCUGCUCCAGACCCUUCCCAGCUCUAUCGCCCUUCCCUGAACACACUCCAGAGCCUCAGUAUCUUUCUUAUAGUGAUCUUCCUUGUAUGAUGAACAAGCUGCUCUAAUGACCGCUUCUGUGCCCUGUUCUCUUCACUAAUAAUAUAGAUCAUGUAUCGCUGUUGCUUAGACAUAGUUGGUGGGGAUGGCACUGGGGAGAGUGUCCCAGCUUCUGCUCAGACCCUCUCAGGGGUCGUGUGCCCACACACCUGGCCUUCCACAAACCCUUCCUGCUGCCUUCGUCCUGUGCUAUGUGUAGUAGUGACAUCUGUGCACCAAUGGUGGUUUAUUGCUCUAGGUAAGUGAAAGAGCAGCAGAAACCACAGCCUUCCCUUGGGUUCUGUUUGUUUGGCAACUCCCAAACCACAGAGCCUGUUUUCAGAGGGAGGACUAGGAAACCCUCAAGAAGAGCUGAAGGUGGGAGGUGGCUGCAGUGGGGGUCCCAGGCAUAGAUGGAAGACCUGGCAGGAGCAGAACCUCCAGGAGCUGCCUGCAGAUGGGGAUGGGCAAGGGGAGAUGAGGUCAGAGAGGUCCUGGCGGGUGGAGCGCAUCCCAGGAGGGAGGUCACGUCCAAGAGAGCAGAUCUCAGUAAGUCAGAUGAAUUAUGUUGCUUAGAGCAGCACAGAUAACAGCUAAGGAGGCUGGGGCUGUCUCUGACUCAGGUUUCCUUAUGCUGAGCAUUUUGCAGAGCACCUUUUAUUGCCUUGUCUACUGCCAAACAAAUGGAUAAAUAACCCCGUGCCUCUCCCCCAGGCCUUCUUAUCAUCAGGGUGUGAGUAAGCCCUGGUGCUUGGAUCCAAACUCACACUCCCAGCCUCCUGGGAUGCCCAUCACGCGAUCCCUUUCAGGUCUGCACACAUCCUCAGGACCUGAGAGUGCCCCUCUAGGCUGCCCCAUGGACUUCAUGGUGAUUUCCAUGGAAGAGCUGUCCUUCAGUGAGUCCUCCCAUAGCCAGGGUAACUCAGUGGGCUCUGAUGAACCCUGCAGUCAGAAAGCCACCUCUCCAAUGACAGGAGAUCCUCAAGUGUAGUAGGGUCCUUCCAAACUUCAGAUGCAAUUAAUGAUUAGAUGUUAAUUCUGUCAGCAAGUGGUGGAGGUGGUGCACCUAUUGACCAGAGGCACUGAGCUGAACAAACCUGCUGCAAAGAACCAAGCACAGAAGGACAUGUUGCUUGCAUUUAACUGUCUGUGAGGAUGAGAGCUGUCUUCAUCCACUUGCAUCCAUCUGGGCUUUGCUGACAGCAUAGCACAUAUCAGAGCACCGUCUGUUAUUCCAGCACAGCAGUCAGCAACAAGACCUCAACCUCCGUGUGCUAGAUAAAGCAUCUUGAGGUUAUGUAGAUGAAUGAUAACAGUCAAGAUUAGACAACCGCAACUCUGUACACACGCUGCUGCUGCUGGCUUGCAGCUCUGCGAGGGUGACCGCCAAGCUCUGUGUGCUCACGGGGCUGCCAAUUCCCCAACCACAGCUCCCCAUGCUAGUGGGACUGCCACUUCUCCAGCCACCUGCUCAAGGCCAAGCAGCAGUGCAUUGCAAGCACACCUCCCCACCUACCCUGCUUGCCUUGCAGAAUCAAGGUGUUCACUAAAGGCCUUGCUGCAGAAACCGUCUUCUGCUUGGAAACUGAAACCUUCCAGUUCUUUCCCAUCAGCUGCCCAUCAGGGCUGCCCAUGGAUGUAUCAGCCACCCCAACAGAGCUGAAGCUCCUACUCCUCUAGACCCAGCAUGAAAUGCCUCUCCUCUUGGGGCAGCACUACCCAUCAGGCACUUCUCCUGGGCAUUACCACUCGUAUUUGAAAGUGCAGGAAGGGCUGGAUAUAACGAGCGUGUUCCUUGCUCCACCAAACUCCAGUGAUUUUAACACAGGUCUUCAGAUUUCCUGGCAAUUUGCCCAUUUGUAGGAGUGUCACACUGCAACAAGUGGUCAUAGAAAACCAAUGGAUACAGAGGAGAGGUGAGAAGCAUGUUCCUCCUGCGCUGCAAGCAAUGAAAUUAAUAAAGCACCUACAAAACACGCUGUUCUUCAGCCGGAGACCAGCCCUGGGCUGUGACGCAGCAGCUGAGUUUGCGUGCUCCCAUCAGGGACACACAGGGCUGCAGCCACGCUUGGGCACACACCUCCCAUCACAUGUCUGGGCCAAGGAGCCAGAAGUCAGGAGCUCCUGACCCAAUGCAAGAAGUGCCAAGCAUUCUCCAUCCCUUCCAAAGGAAACGGUGGAGUCAGCACAAUCCUACCUACACCCGGACUCCACCGAGGCAGCUCAGGAUUGGAAAAUCCCAUUACCACCCGUUGAGACACCGUUAAACAAUUUCCCAGCCCCGCCAUGUGACCGUGCACAGGCUACACGGGAGCCCAGGCUUUAGCAGUGCUUUCACACUUCCAAAAUGUGUCUGCUGGGUCACGUGGAGGCUUUCCAAACCCCUUAAAUCCACCUGACAAAUUCACCUUCCCAACCUAAGUCAGCAGACCAGUUGGGAAGGGAGCACUCAGCACCACCUCCGACCACGUGUGCUCCUCACCUGGGGUUUUUUGGCCUGCUGCAGGCUGGACGGUGAGCGUACAGAACAUACCAUGCAAAUUGCUGUGCAUCUCCGUGCAAGCUUGGCUUGUGGCAGAACUCUUCCCAAAGCAAGUAUUCCAGGCUCGCAUAUAAAUUAAAGCUCAUAAAUCAGUUGAGAAAAAAUCUCCUCGAUGGCAAUGGCCAACUUGUUAGAAGGGAGCUAAAGGCUACAAACGGUUCUCAAUGAAGCCUCGCUAGCUGUCAAGAAUGCACGAGGCAGCGGCGGUGUUUGGAUUGGGAACGCGAGUCGGAUUUUUCUCCCCUCUUUUGAGGACAAUGAAAUGUAGCAGCUUUCCUUCCCCUCCGAGCUGCUCGGAGUGACCCGAGCCGGCAGACAACAGCACAGAUACAAUCUCUGGAAAUCAUGAAGUGAUCGAAGAAUGGCUGAGGAGUUCUGAAUAACUAAAUAAAGUCCUCUGUGUUUUCUUUAGCAAGUAAAGAAAAUACUUUUAGCGUUUUAGUGUGACUUUUGGGGUCAAGGGGGAAUCUCGAGUCCAAAUACAACAAACCCGUGUGGAAAUUGCUGCCAAGAGUCUGAUAGCUGGGCUGGGAGUUUGCCUUGAGGCUCAGAUGUGCGAGUGCAGCCCGCUGGAGGCAGGCUGAGCCUGAGCUCUUGCUCAGAGCAUGGGAAUCUCGGGCACGUCCUCCCUCCUCCAGCAGCGUGCCCCUCUGCAGCUCAGUGCCAGCACCCAGCCAUCCCAACAGCCAGGGCUGCGGGUCAGCACAGCAGCGCUUCCCAGUGCCUGGUGCAGAUGAUAUUCCGUUAGCAACACCUUACAGCAUCGUCCUGCAUUUCUCUUAAAUGCCCUUUUAGGAAAUACGUUAUCACUAUGGGAUGUUACUGGGGUCACAAAGCACAGUGUUCAUGGGUGAGCCGGGGUGCUCAAUAAAGGAAUAGGAAAAGAAAAUUUCUGGUAUCUCAGCUUCCUGAUCUUUGAAGCACUGCAGUAGAUAGAAUUGCCUUCUCUAGCACACCCCCUCGAAGACUUAACUGUUUCUUUUUUUAACCUCACACUGCUAAAACAGUCAAAUCUUCCAAUACCAUAUAUAUUAUAAAGUAGAAAUGUAAUUCUGGCUUCAAAUGUACAUUCAAAAAAUCUUCAGGUUGUUUUUUUUUUUUUUUUUAGGUUUGCCUAGAGAAUAAUUGAAUACUUGUGUUAGAACAUCACCCCCAGUGCCAAUUUCACAUACCCCAUCUGUCAUCAUUGGCACAGGUGGAAGGACUCUCCUUCUGCUCUGAUGCCACGAAGAGAGGAUCCACGCUGCAGAAGCACACCCCCUUGGUUUCUUAUUCCAGCAUAGGAUUGCUGUAGCCAUGAUGGGCAAAAGAGAUAAAGGAUAUAGGAGAGGGAUAAUGUCUUUUGCUGGACCAAUAUAGCCCUCCCAAAAAGCAGACUAACUUUUAGACACACAAGGUCUUCUUCUGCGAGCUUUUUGGGGAUCGUAACAGCCUAAUGAAAAAUAUCUCCUCUCUCUUCAAAAUUCUCUUAUUCACAGCAUUCAGCCAUGUGAAAUCCACGUUACAAGAAACAUCAUAUAUGUUUUCUCUUAUUUUCUUCUGUUACAUUCCUGUUUGUGCAAAUGAGAUGCACCUAGGGUUCUCGCAGCCUUGCCUACCUCAUACAAAGAUGCAUUGCACAGCUUCCUCACCAAGCCAUCUGCUCUCAGAGAGGAGAAAGCCAACAUCUGACAUACCACAUACCAUCAAGCAGCCUCAAAAGGACAGUAGUGGGCAAAUGAUACCCUGCAUCUGCUCAGCUCGCAUUCAUUUCCAGCCACCUAAGGUUUGGCUGCAACAGCUCUUCUAAACCCAAAUACAUAUGUUGGCUUAGAGACACCAUAGUAAAGUAGCCUAACAAACCAAAGCAAUUGGUUUUAAUAAGAAUCUUGGCUUGUUUUGACAAUGCACUGAAUCUUCAUGUUGGCACCGCGAAUGUUUUUUUAGGAAAAUGUAUGCAUCUUUGCAGCUCUCAGCAACUAAAUCCUCUCUGCACUUCAUGGAAAGGGUUUCCUGGCUAUCCGCUUUCCGACGUAUUCCAAGUUCCUUGCAGCUGAUUGUUGUCUAGGCUGAAAUACUUUCAUACGAAGCUCAGCUAUUUGCCCCCGUUGCGUGCUGUGUGCCGAUGGUGUGCGGGUCUCACGCAGUGCCCUUCAUCCUCCCGCACCUACAGAAGGGGCCGGGGCUGCGGGGACGUUUCAGUGCUUCCUGAAGUGCGUUGUGCAGAUGUGUUUGGAAUAGCAACGGAAGCGGCUGUCUCCCUCUACCCAGCCUUAUUACAGGCAGUAGCAAUGCUCCCAGAGUUCAAAGGCAUUUCAUGCUCACUGAGCGUUUUUCAGCAAGAAAUCUGAGAUUAAAUAAACUCCAAUCCUCUCUGAGGAGAAAGCAGAAGAUGGAGGGAGAGGCGCUGACUCUCGCUGCGCAGCAUGCAUCUUGGUGUACCUUGGAAAACACCCAGGCGAGGUGCUCCUCAAGCACACAUCUGGCCAGGACAUUUCACUGCUGGGGCCAGGGCUGUGCCUGCUGCUUUUGAAUGGGCUCGUGCCAAGGAUGCCAACCCACUCACAACCCGAACGGCACCCAGGAUGUUCCCCAGCCUGAGUCCUACCACCACCGUGCUGGCUCCUGAGAGGCCAGGUGAGGUUACGUUGGAUUUACAGCCUUUCUCCUGUUUUCUGCUGUAAAAGGUGGUAAGCUAGAUUGUCACCAACAGAAAUAUUUAGCUUUCAGUGAGAGUAGGCACGUGACUCCUUCUCAAGUGCUGACCUGCUCCUUAGCAGCAGCCUACAUCCUGCUCUUGUGCUAAGGAAUCACGUGCCCAGGGCAAAUUUCUGGCCACGGACACACAGGUGUUGCUCAGCCAUACUCAGCGGGCACAAGGAAUUGGGUUGUUUAAUCUUACUCCUCUCCAUAGUGACACUGGCUCUGUGGGAAAAAGAAAAUACUUGAGUCAUAGAAGUGACUGAAGUGCCAUUCCCAGCAACGCGGAUGUUUACCCAGGCUCAGCUGGUCCAGUUCUGCCCUUAGCAGGCUGUAAGGUUUACUCCUUGCACCCCCUGUUCCCCCAGUGAGUACCAUAGCUGAGGGUGGGCAUGGACUCCAUGCAAAGCUGGGAACAUUUCAUCUCUGUGCAUCUGCCAGACUAGGGGCAAGGUGUGAGCACAUUCCCCACAGCUCAGGGAAGUCCUGUGCUCAGCUUCUGGGGCUGGGCUGGCUUCUCCAGACUCAUAAAGGUGUUGAUGCUCUUACAGACUGUGCAGAUGUUGUCAAAGAGUACAGGGCAUGGACAUCCACACCCUCAGCAUGCUUGGCUGCUUCACUCCCAUGAGCUUCACCGAGACAAAGACAUUUAAUACCACUGAGGAUCUGAGCCCAGUGUGGUUUGGAAAAUCCCAUUAGAUACCAUUCCUCAUCUUCAGGUGACUAAACACUUCAGAAAUCCAGUCCCAAAUGCCCUUGGAGACUCAACAAUCAACAUGUCAGUCUUUUCUGGACUGCCCUGUUAAAGAUCACUACUACAGUGCUGGAAAAACCACCCAGGUUAGACCUGACCCCAGAAAGGCCAUCAAGCCCCUAAGCUAGGUACGAUGCAGAGGUAAUUAGUGCAUACUCUGCUGCAGACAAUACACUGUGAGCCCAGGAUAGAUGUAAAAGCCUGAGAGGCAGACAUGGAAGAGUGUUAUGUUCUCUGUCUGAGAUCCGAAUCCCAGUGAGGGUGGAAAUAGCAAUGUAGGACAGCUGUGAGUAUGCUUAGUAUUAAUAUCAAAUAUAAUGGUAAUUCAAAACAGAAUCUUUUGGUACAGAUCUGAACUGCACAAGCCAAGUUAUGAAAUGAUAUUAGCAUCUGGAUCUGAGAAGCAGCUGAGACUAAGUUGGCCAGCAUUUGCCAUAUGUCUCAUCUGCAGAGAAUAUUUAAAUAAGUAAACACAAUGAGUUAAUAUAAAUGAAAUAACUUUGCAAGAUAAGCACCUUUUUGUGCUAGUGGAAUGGCAGAUUGUCAGAACGACCACGUUCAAUGGAAAUUCUGAAAGGGGAAAAUUCAGAUGGCACACUACUGGCUUUUCAACUGGCUAGAUAGCAUAGCCCAGAAUGGUGAACAUUUACAAUGAUUCUUAUCUGCUGGCAGGUGAGAGAAUCCCACUGCUGUUGCCAAAGCCUUAACUCAUCAAAAAAUUAGUGGUUCUUUCUUGGAAACGUGAGCUAAAACCUUUCACAGAUCUUCUAGCUACAUCUCUGUGUUGGGAAAAGGGGCUAUAAUUUUAAGAGCAUCAAAGGUAUAGAAAGCCGUGCUGCUUUCCAGUAAUUCCCUGACAACACCUAGAGGGUGAAACAAACCUGCUGGUGGUCUGAUCUGAAGGGGAAAAAAAAAAUCGUAAAUGCUGAUUCUGGGAAAUAAAUUAUUCCCUAAAAACAAGCCAGACAGAUCCAGUGCCUUCAUUUCAUUUUGACUUGUGCAACCCUCUGAAUGUCUCCAGCGAGGAAUUAACCUAGAGAGGAUUUCAGUAUUUGGCCCAGGAGAAACUCUUAAGGGACUACCACAGUUCAGGCUUUUUCUUAAGAAGUCUCUCCCCUUUGAACAGCAGAUCAAGGCUCGAGCACCACGUCAAUGGCAUCCAGUUGCUUGGCCAUGCACAGGGCUCCUAAACACGUCCAGCCUCCCAGGCAGUACACUGUGAUGCUGAGUCACAUUCCUUUAUUGAUGAAGAAGAGAGAAAACUAUUAAUUGCAUACCAAGGACAUUUUCUACAAAGGAAAUUGGUAAGCUCAGCACCUCCUUAGAAGACGUCAGUGGUAUCGUUCUAAUAGGCCCUGGCAAUUCCGCGUGCCAUCAGUCCAUCAGCCCCAGCUUUUUUCACUUUGAUUGGUACAAAAUGUUUCUGAAAACCGACACUGCUAAUAACAAUAGGUGCCCAAAGUGAUCGCUUGCAGUUAGUUUGAGGAAAGUUCAAAGACUGAGUUUAUUUUGGCUCUCCAAACCAGAGCAUGUAACAUUCUUUUAAUUUAGAACAGGACCUUGCUUCAGCUCUCCUUGGAUGGAUACAAACAGGUCCUAAGGAUGCAUGAGCUGAGUGGCCCAGUCUGUUUUUGUUCGCUCCAUUUUUGCAUGGGAUACCAACAAACUGGCUGUUCUGAAGAAUCAAAUGGCAUGCAUUCAGGUUUCAGGGGCUUGGGGUUAGUUCAAGCAGGUGUAAAAUCCCCGCAAGGCAUAAGGGGGAUCCACAAAAGCAAAUCAUACCUGAACAGUCAAUAUAACCUUUUCCUUGCUUCUUCCAUACAGUCUGUGAACAAAGUUAAAUUUUAUAUAGGCUGAUGAUGCCUACUGGUUGUGAUUCUUAGUGGGUAAGAGCUUGAGGAUUCAGUGUGUCAUUCACUUCGCCACAUAUUCCAAGUUCUCCUUGCUGCUGUGCAAUUACAUUCAGGUUCCAAACCCACAGCAACUGACCUCAAGGGUCCUUUGUGCCUCUGCCACCUACCUGAAGAGACGAAGCACGCUGAGUGGUAAUUUUUUUUAGUGAUAUGGGAAAGUAUAAAACACAUUCUCGUGCAUGAAAGUGAAGAGUGAAGCGGCUUGAACCAACAAGAACGAGCAAUCAGCCCAAGAGCACAAACACACAGAAAUAUGAUGGGUAUGAAAUCAUUCAGAGCCAAUCAGUAAGCUCCCAACUUCUAAAGCAAUUUCAUAAUUGAGUAAUGGGACACAGCAGGGUCUGAACUAUUGUGUAUUAUAAUCUGAAUGGAAUGCUGUGAGAAGGCUCGAGCAAUCUGAUCGCACCGAGCCCUUGCUCACCAGAAAUGCCUUUGACAUAUUUCCUUAAAGCACAGCAACGAGAGUGAAGUAACUGCUUGUUAAUGACACCCCGAUGGGUUGUCUGCAGCGCUGAAACUGAGAUAGCAGAGAUUGGAAAGCCUGUGCCUCUCCUUGGCUGGAGUUAACACACCAGCCCCCACAGACUGCCCACCCACUUCAACCUUAAUCGCUGGCGUGCCUGUACAAUCACCAGUUUCACUUCACUACAUAUUUCCUCCCCCAGAGCUUCGCUUAUAAAGCAGGAGGCACUAAUAAUCUACGAUGAUCCCACGCCAGCCUCCUGUCAUGGCUUAGUGCUCUGUGGCUGGAACACACUGCUGAGCCGUGGCUAUCUGCACAGCCUCACAGGCAGGCUUCAUUCCCCUUCCAUUUUCCAGACCUUCCUUGGAUGUGGAUGCCUUAACUCCACCAAAAAAAUUCUCAGCCCUCUCUGUAUUUAAGGACAUCACCCUCCACUUGCAGGCAAGCUCAGCAGGAGCCAAAAGCCUGGAUCUGGAAGUGCUUGAUAGCAAGGCAGGAGGGAUGGUUUGAGAUCUGAACUCCAGGAUGUGCUGCAGGACCCUGGUCUGCUGGGGCACAAAAGCUGACACAUCUUCCAUGCUCAGUAUAGGUGUGGGUAGAUAUCCCCCAUUACUUGAGGGAGAGAAUGGGAAGGGCAGAAGUGCAAAAACUCAUAAAUUGAGAUAAAGACAGUUUGAUAAAGGAAGCGAAAGCUGCAUGCACAAGCAAAGCAAAGCCAGGAAUUUAUUCCUUCCCUCCUAUCAACAGACAGGUGUUCAGCCACUACCAUCACAUGUCAUGGGGACUUGGAAAACAAACACACUCUGACCAUCCCCUCUUCCUCCUUCUUUCCAUGAACUGAGCACAUCUCACACUAUGGGAUAUCCCUCUGGUCAGCAGAGCUCAGCUGUCCUGAUUGCGUCGUUUCCCCCCCCCCCCCCCAGCUCCUUGUGCACCCCAGCCUGCUUGGUACACAAGCACUGCUCAGCAACAGCUAAAACAGAGUGUUAUCUACACUGUUUUGGUCAAAUUUGGACAACUAUAUCAGCAAACCCACUACAACAGAGCCCUGACUGACUCAGGCUGGAUGAGUGCAACCUGGAGAUCUGCUCUCAACUCCCCUAGCUGCUGCUCUCAGAAGGGACUACUCUCAUUUACUGUCUGGAAGGGGAAUGAUGCCACAGUGCCACUGAGCUCACAGGGACCAUCUUCCCUUCAUGGUAUCUCUGUGACAUUAACCUUGACGAGGUUAGCUGAAUCGGCUGUGUUCCACGUGUAGUUACAGCCUCCUUGCAAGAGCUGCAAAGUGUCACUGCAGUUAGGUUGUGGCUGGCAAGCAGUCUGACAUAUUCCACCAGUCAAGGUCCCCUUGGAAAGGUCCGUAAGAAUGAGGGAGAUUUAGAAAGUGCCAAAGGGCUCCUGAAUAACAAGAGAUAGGGACAGCUGGAGGAGUCAUGCUUGCAGGGCCAGACAUUCCAAGGGAUGGUGCCUAAAGAUACAGCCUCCAUCUCACCAGUCAUAAAAGGUUUCCAGUCCUCAAAACAGCAAGGUGAGACAGCCUACCAGGAAAAUAAGAAUUAGUGAGCUGAAAAGUGACCAAAAAUGGAAUUGCAAGACAAUGCCACAGCUCUCUAGGGUGGUCUGGAUGGCUCAGGAGCUCCAUUCCCCACAAUUCCCAGCAAGGCCCUUUCACUGGCAUGGGUGGGAGCUGCGGGCCAGGUCCACUCACACGUCUGAGUGCUCACUUUCUUCUGACUGCUCCAUGGGUUUGGAGUCAACAGUAAAACCAGUUGGUACAAUUAAAGCUGGGAAGAGCAGGACUGGUGUAGAAGCAUGGAAAGAAAGCGGUGACUGUGCUUAGAAACUGGAAAAGUGCUUUAAAAAGAAGUAUCCCACAUAAUUUAAGUCCUGUACAUAUAACGCUGUCCUGUCUCCUCUGCCCCAGAGGAUGAUUUCACAAAACCUUUUGAACUCUGUAACCUGUACAACAAUUCUGAGUUUAUGUGGAUGCUGCCUGAAGCUCACUUGUGCCUGUUACAGGAGGACGCUGGCAAUUAAUUGAUUUGUUUUUCAAACUGACCAAUUCUGAGCCCAAUAUUGAAGCACAAUGGCUACCUGCACCUGGGUGCAAGUGUGGGAGAAACCUGAUCCUGAGAAGACGACACUACAUGGGCCACCUUGGGCUCCCUCUGACUUUAGUCAUGCCCAUGUGAGCUGUAUGCAGGCAUGCAAGGCAGUCUGGGUUUGGACUAUCAAACACUCACAACAAACAACUCACUAAUAAGCUGCAGACCAAGAUGUUCUUUUUUCAGAGACUAUUCAAUAAAUGUUUCCAAAUAAGAAGUUUCUAUGGGAAAAACCUAGCCUUUUCCUACAGACAGCUCACAUUCCGGAAAAAAGGCAACAUUGCUCACAUGAAUUAUUCAUCACAAAUUACUCACCCAGUUCUUGCAGCCAGUGGUGCUUUUCCUCUACCUGGAGCUGUAGAAAAGCCAAGUUGUGUCCCUUCAGAGAGAGGGGAAGGGUCAUCUCAACCAACCGUGAGACAUCUGGCCAACAUAAGUGGCUCUUCGCACCUCCUAUGACAGACACAGUUUGCUGUGGGAUCUGUCUGCCAUCAGGAUGUUGGGCGUCCCCCUCCCUCAUCCAGCCAGGCACACCUGGGUAAGCAGUGCUUACUUGGGUGAGGAGGCAGCUUCCGCGCUCAGCUAAGCUGAGUUGGACAGCGUGGUGGAGAUGAGGGUAACGUGAGAGCUAUGGCAGGAGGAGGCAUGGUUCUCACAUUUGCAGUGCACUGCCAAGUGAAAGAAGGGUUCACUAUGAGACAACCUGUGGCUGGGAAAGGGACUAGCUCCACUCUUGGCUGCUUGUCAAAGCUAGCUAUUUUGCAAUAUUAAUAAAACCAGUGAGUCCAUCUUCUGCAAGACAAGUUCUAAUUUCUCCAGCAAAUUCAGCAGCAGACAGUCAUGCCAAGACAGGCGGUCGGUGCAGCUUCUUCGGAGCUUUGAAUCUGCAGGAGAACAUACAGGUACAACCAAAAUAAACAAGAAAAGUAAAACUCACAGCACAGCCUGUGUGGAGGCACGCAGGGAGGAACUAGAGGCAUUGCACAAGUGCGUGCUCAAAUACCUCACCAGCAUCGCAUGCUCAGGACAGCCACAGAGCAGCCACAGGCUAGAGCUGCAUAGACGCAGAGAUGAAGGUGUCUUUGGGGCUCACGAUGGGAUUUUCCUUGUGGCUUCUUCUGUGAAUGUCCCUUCUGCAGCAGAACACAAGAUAACGGGACUGAGCCGCUGCCUCUGGAAAGGCUUCUGGGGAGGCACAGGGUGCUUCUGAAGCCACAGCAGCGUUAAAUGAUGUGUUUGCAUGUACGUGUGUUUGUACAGACACACCAUAUUUUCCAUGUCUACAACACUGCUGUGUAUCAGAAGUCCCUUUUGCACAGAAGUGGUUUGUCUGCUCAGUACUAACCUUCAAGAAGCCAUAUACUGUGUUCCCAAUACAUUGUUGUAGAAAGAAAAUCAGAAACAGCAAGUAGCAGCAAAUCAGCAAACCAGGGGACGAAGCACCUGAAGUUCCAGAUCAGUGAAACUUCACUGCAGACCAGAGCAACGCUUGGGAGGGUUUUCCUCUUCAAAACGCAGCUCAUCCACAGGUGGUAUCUGCCACACUUGGUAGAAUGCCAUUGUUCAUCAUCAACACCAAAGUCAUAAGAGAAAACAAAUACAGCCUUCACAGGGAACUCCGCAAGGUCCCAGCGCUGUGAUGGCAGCAGCCAGGCUGCUCACUGGCAUAUAACAAUGUCCAUCUCCCAGUCCAAAUUUGCCAAGCUUCUGUGUGCCAUCAAGUGAGGCAUCCCAGAGCUUCAUUGCAAAUGCACACCACCUUCCUUGGGGUCAAAGCAUUAACCUUCAUUAGGGUUUUACAAUAAAUACGGCUUGUAUAAAUUCAGAGUUAUGUCCUUCUUUCUUUAUACAUCCAGAAGUCUUGUCUGCUCCCAUAAAGCUAUCACCCAUGACUUCCAAUUCCCAAGACACAGCCAUUCAUCAUGUAAUAGCCCCGAUGCAUGCCAUUCGAGGUGUCAGGCAUUAUUCUGCAUCUCUUGCCACACUUUUCAGUGCAGCCAAGGUGAGGUUUUAGAGCAUCUCCUCAGGCUGCACUGCACGGAGCUCUGCACCUGAGACAAAGCAGCACAUCAUCACAUCUUCAAAAGCAGGGCACACAUUUCUCUAACAGACAGCAUGUUAAGUGGAUAUUAUUCUUCAGCACUGCGAGUGCAUACUGCAACUAGUUUAAAAGGAAUUACUGGCAGUGAGGCAACCCUGGACUUGAGCAUUUUUGUUUCGUCUUUCUCUGAACCUGACAACAGAACAAUGCAGACUUUCAGACUUACCAGACUGCUGAGGUCCGUGUGCCACGGGUGUACACGAAAGCCAAUUUGAAGAGAUUAAGUGGCAAUUUGAACCAGCAGUUCCUCAGAAGUGAUGUUCUCCCUUGGCAGAGGUCCCUCCAGCAGAAGACGUGAGCGUGCGUUCCAGUACAUGCAUUCCAGUGAACGACGCUUCUUGCCAUCUUCCUCCUCCUCCAGCGUCUUUCAUCUGCUUGAAAUUUAGAGGGUGAUUUAGCAGACCCAAAUUUGGCUCUUAAUGAAGGCAAUCUGACUUGUCAAUCUCUCCUGUGGCUGUUGCAAGAAUCCUUGAUAAUAACUUGGGUGGGAUCCACCCUCAGAAGGCAGUGCCUAACACUAGGCCAUCUGGACACCCACCAUGUGCCAAACACCAUCGUUCACAUUUAGUCCAGCUUCCUGCUCAAGUCAAAUGGUAUUUUGAUGAGUGAC